GACUCUCAGCAACGGAUAUCUCGGCUCUCGCAUCGAUGAAGAACAUAGCGAAAUGCGAUAUCUGAUGUGAUUUGAUGAGUUGCCUAUAUAUUAGAGUAGUACAUAUUAUGUUUUUUUUUUCGAAGAGGAAUAAAACAUGUUUUUUUUCCGAAGAGGAG
Molecule: ribosomal RNA, 158 nt
Filed under: Oryza longistaminata (longstamen rice)
Lineage: Eukaryota; Viridiplantae; Streptophyta; Magnoliopsida; Poales; Poaceae
Description: rRNA 5_8S_rRNA
Rfam family: 5.8S ribosomal RNA
About the family: 5.8S ribosomal RNA (5.8S rRNA) is a component of the large subunit of the eukaryotic ribosome.
Source: RNAcentral